GAUGAAGAACGCAGCGAAAUGCGAUAAGUAGUGUGAAUUGCAGAAUUCAGUGAAUCAUCGAAUCUUUGAACGCACAUUGCGCCCUUUGGUAUUCCUUAGGGCAUGCCUGUUCGAGCGUCACUUAAACCUUCAAGCUAAGCUUGGUGUUGGGUGACUGUCCGCUUCACUGCGGACUCGCCUCAAAAUUAUUGGCGGCCGGUACAUUGGCUUCGAGCGCAGCAGAAACGCGAACUCGGGCCCGUCGUAUUGGCUCCCAGAAGCUAUCUUCACAAUUUUGACCUCGGAUCAGGUAGGGAUACCCGCUGAACUUAAGCAUAUCAAUAAGCGGAGGA
RNAcentral lists this unclassified non-coding RNA (332 nucleotides) under soil metagenome. RNAcentral describes it as "partial contains 5.8S ribosomal RNA, internal transcribed spacer 2, and large subunit ribosomal RNA". The stretch from base 1 to 120 matches the Rfam family "5.8S ribosomal RNA", at positions 35 to 154 of the family's 154-position model. The record is from RNAcentral.